GGCGGCGGCGGCGGCACUGCGGUUGUUUCCUCGCAGAUGGAGCUGAGCCGGCGCGGGCGAGUGAGCAGGCCGGCUGAAAAGGACGGACGGACCGGCUCUCCCCCGGCCGCGGAGCCCCCGAUGAGGGCUCAGCAGCCAGCGGGGUGGCUGCUGUUCCUGAGCUAAGCGUGAAAUGACAAGAACUCAGUCAUCCCAACGCCCUGGUGUUUGCUCUACCAGCUUGCCAUGUGAAUAGCACUGUCGCUUUAAUAAUUCCAUGUCAAGGGAUUGCUUUCAAUCCUCUUGGGUGUAAUACGAGAGGAUCAGAGGGAUGUUACAGACCAGAAGGCUGGGCGAAGAGAAUAACAAUGAAAGUGACGGCUAUGCGGGUAACCAAGUGAAACUUCAGAGCUUUUUUUCUAGCAUCCAGAAGACCAGGAUGUCUGCCUAAUGGGCAAAAAUCCUUGUGACUGCAGCAGGAAGAAAAAUCUCUUUGAGUUGCUUCCACCUUCCUUAGAAUUUUAUUUGGAUUAUUUAAGACGGGGUUAGGCGGUUUUGGACUGUGUUGAAGUGGAAUACUGAGAUUGCCAAGUCUUGGACUGUGCCUUAAUUGCAUUUUUGACAUUCACUUAACUUCUGAAUACAAUACAAAACAAUCCUUCAUUGUCAGAAGAGGGAUUCUUAUACACUUUUGUAAACGGAUGUGUGUUUUCUCCGAUAUAUUUUUAUAGCUUGGGAAAUACUUUACAGAUUUUGACAACUGCUUUGGCAGAAAGUCUCUAAAACUCCCCUCCCUGCCUUGCUAUUUUCCUGGUGAUGUUGGAAGUUUUUAACUGGAGGAAUUACAAGCAUCCUUGUGGAAAAUGAAGAAAUAGAGCCCUCUUUUUAAGCUGAACUGUUUUGAGUUGGACAGCAGACUUCUGACUUCCCAAGAUAAUCCUGGAAGGACUCUACAGUAAAUAAAUACUUGCAUCCAGUGCCAGAAGUAACAGCAAGAAUGCCAGUGAAGAAGAAAGGUGGGCUAUGAGGGUUUUUUUCGGUCUGUCUUUUGGACAUACUGGAUUUCUGACACAUGCAAUUUUAUAUUAAAAGGCGUUUAAAUAGGA
Long non-coding RNA from Candoia aspera, 1085 nucleotides. RefSeq lists it as uncharacterized. The record is from RefSeq and is a predicted model, not a curated record. The transcript has 2 exons. Lineage: Eukaryota; Metazoa; Chordata; Lepidosauria; Squamata; Candoiidae.